This is a long non-coding RNA of Centruroides sculpturatus (bark scorpion), 326 nucleotides long. RefSeq lists it as uncharacterized. Lineage: Eukaryota; Metazoa; Arthropoda; Arachnida; Scorpiones; Buthidae. The transcript has 2 exons. The record is from RefSeq and is a predicted model, not a curated record.
AAUAAAAUCUCGUAUACGGUUUGAGAAUUAUUUUACAAUUAUUUGAAAUUUAUACGUAAGUAUUAAAUUCACCAAUCAGAACCGUUUAUGUUAAUACGUAUGCAACUCGAUCUGCGUGCAUUUUACUGUUGCUGUUAUUCACUAUCGUCUAGUGUAAAGUACGGGUCAGAUGUACAGGAUAUCCUCGUUCAGGCGAGAACUUACCUUAUAGAGGAAAGUGAUCCGUAUAAACUCUAAAUUGACGUUCUGAAAUCAGUAGAAAAUUUCUUAAGAACAAUGUAUGAACGAUUAUUGUUUUGGAGCACAGUUUGUCUUCUUGUAAUCGG